GGGCUACGGGCGAGAUUCUCUGAUUCACCUCCCACCCGUGUUUAUUGUACCUUGUUGCUUCGGCGGGCCCGCCUCACGGCCGCCGGGGGGCAUCUGCCCCCGGGCCCGCGCCCGCCGAAGACACCUUGAACUCUGUAUGAAAAUUGCAGUCUGAGUCUAAAUAUAAAUUAUUUAAAACUUUCAACAACGGAUCUCUUGGUUCCGGCAUCGAUGAAGAACGCAGCGAAAUGCGAUACGUAAUGUGAAUUGCAGAAUUCAGUGAAUCAUCGAGUCUUUGAACGCACAUUGCGCCCCCUGGUAUUCCGGGGGGCAUGCCUGUCCGAGCGUCAUUGCUGCCCUCAAGCCCGGCUUGUGUGUUGGGUCUCGUCCCCCUUCCCGGGGGGACGGGCCCGAAAGGCAGCGGCGGCACCGCGUCCGGUCCUCGAGCGUAUGGGGCUUUGUCACCCGCUCUGUAGGCCCGGCCGGCGCUUGCCGAUCAACCAAAACUUUUUUCCAGGUUGACCUCGGAUCAGGUAGGGAUACCCGCUGAACUUAAGCAUAUCAAUAAGCGGAGGGAUCAUUACGGAGCGAGAAUUCUCUGAAUUCACCUCCCACCCGUGUUUAUUGUACCUUGAUGCUUUCGCGGCCCCCUCACGG
RNAcentral lists this ribosomal RNA (636 nucleotides) under Penicillium canescens. Its description in RNAcentral is "eukaryotic LSU rRNA". The stretch from base 176 to 329 matches the Rfam family "5.8S ribosomal RNA". Lineage: Eukaryota; Fungi; Ascomycota; Eurotiomycetes; Eurotiales; Aspergillaceae. The record is from RNAcentral.